GGGGCUUUGUGGAGCAGCUGGUGCAGCCUUGCUUUCCGAGGGCGGCGUGCAGCCACAGUGCCCGCUGCGGGUGCUGGGGAAUGGCGCCUUACAGGCUGCCCACCUGCCUCCUCAGGGUGGAAGGCGGGGCUUGGGUGUGAGCGUGCUGAAUCAGAACUUUCCUGGAAAGUCGCCACUUGGUGUGGUCAGAGGAUCACUGAACAACUGCACAGAGCCUGUGCUUAAGAUGGCAGGAUCGCAAGACAGAGCAACUGGAGCAAGUCCUCAUUAAGAAGAGCCGCCCGAUGCAUUUGGACUGCGAUGUGUUACGCCCAUGAGAUUUCAGGGUUAAUUUGUUACCUGGCCGUGGCCUAUCCUCUUCCAGCAGAUACAGAGGCUACUGCAGUUUGCAACUUUGCAGAUACCAGCAGAGGAAGAAAAACCUGGGAGACUGCUGCUAACCUAAUGUGGAGACUUGACUUAAACUUCAGCCAGACAAAGGCGGAAUCUUAAUAUGGAGGGGCCUGGCUCUGCAGGGAGGUCACCUGGGCUGGCUGGAUUUCAAUCCAGUUACACAGCAAAAAAGUUACAACCCAAGCUUUGGCGAUGCUGAGCCUUCUACUCUCAGGGAUUCCAAAGCAUUUGAUAAACUCUUUCUUUGUUCCAUUGUUUACUGACUUCCUAGUGCUUGUCUUGUUCUGCAGUUAUUUAUUUAUUUUUAUUUAUUAGUUUUUACUUAUGAUCUACCCCUCUCUCCCAUCUCCCCGCAACCUGAAGGUAAGGUGCAGGAAGUUAUGGCCUUUGCUUUGUAUGCCAUUACAUUCCCCCUCCCCAGGGAAGGGGUUAGCAUGAUGGUAGGAACUGUUCCCUCUUGGUGACAGAUAAGUGACUGGAGCAGAAUCCACUUCUGCUGAGAAGCUCUGGAUGACCACGGAUAAGCAGGAAGGCAUGUGACAUAUUGGCAAGUGAGUCAGACAGAAAGAGAGACGUGGGAUCGAGUCCUGGCAUUGCCCUUUCUAGCUAUUGUGUCCUUGGACAGGUAAUUUAGCUUCCCUGAGUCUGUUUUCUCAUCUGAAAAAUGAAGAUAGUAAUAAUUAUCCUCGUGGGGCUAUUGAAAAAGUUAAAAUAAUACAAGCAAAGCAUUUAACAUAGGGUUUACAUUAUAAUAUUAUAAUUAUACAUAUAAUUAUACAUUAAU
RNAcentral lists this long non-coding RNA (1177 nucleotides) under Homo sapiens (human). RNAcentral's name for it is "HSALNT0330789". The record is from RNAcentral. Lineage: Eukaryota; Metazoa; Chordata; Mammalia; Primates; Hominidae.